CCUAUGCGGGUGGUGCCCCAGACAGGUGAAGGGCGUGGCUUGUCCUACGAAUGGCGCCUGGAAGUGGAGUGGGACAACACAAACUUCGGGUCCGCGGCUUCUGCUUCCUGCUGGCUCACCGACAUCCUCCCAAGUGCACAGUGAUGGGUGAAAACCCUGUUUGAAGCUGAUCCACCAUGCCAUUAGUAACAAGAAAUAUCGAGCCAAGGCACCUGUGCCGCCAGACAUUGCCCAGUGUUCGGAAUGAGCUGGAAUGUGCGACCAACAUCACCCUGUCAAAUGUCAUUCGACAGCUGGGCAGCUUGAGUAAAUUUGCAGAGGACAUAUUUAGAGAGCUGGUUACACAAGCAACCACAUAUGCUGUUCGGGUCACCUCUUUAGUUGAGAGAGUUGAUCGCCUUCAGGUGAAAGUUACUCAGUUGGAUCCCAAGGAGGAAGAAGUGUCCUUGCAAGGUAUUAAUACCAGGAAAGCCUUUAAGAGCUCCACAACUCAGGACCAAAAGCUCUUUGAGAGAGAAUCUGCCCCCCUGCCUGUCCUUGAAACAUACAGCACUUGUAAUAAACCGCCCCCUCUUAACAUUCUAUCCUCAUACAGGGACGAUGGCAAAGAAGCACUUAAAUUCUACACUGAUCCAUCAUAUUUCUUUGAUCUUUGGAAGGAGAAAAUGCUGCAGGAUACCAAGGAUAUUAUGAAAGAGAGACGGAAGCAUAGGAAAGAAAAGAAGGAUAAUCCUAACAGAGGAAAUGUAAACCCUCGGAAGAUAAAAAGCCGAAAAGAAGAAUGGGAAAAAAUGAAAAUGGGUCAAGAGUUUGUCGAUACAAGAGAAAAACAUGGACUGGGAGGGUACCCUCCUAACAUGGUGUAUCAGAAUGGUAGCAUUGGUUCCAAUGAGAGUGUUGAUGCUGCCUACUAUCCACCUCCUCCACAGCCAGAAUCUGUUUCACCAUCCCCUCCUCCAUUGUCAGAUGAUAGUCUUCCGCCUCCACCAGCAGAAUUUAGCUAUCCACCUAGCCAGAGUGUUUCUGGAGGGCUGAAGAAAUCCAUCCUUGUCAGCCCCAGCCAUCCUCCACCAGAUCCUCCUAUUAGCUCACCCCCGGGAACCAGACCUGGCUUUGCUCCACCUCCUGCUCCACCACCUCCACCACCGAUGGAGGGAGUUCCUCCACCCCCUCCACUUGCUGGCUUCCAAGCUGCUGUCAUUCCUCCUCCACCAUCUCCACCCUCCUUCCCGCCUCACCCUGACUUUGCUGCCCCUCCGCCCCCUCCUCCUCCAGCAGCAGAAUAUGCCGUUGUGCCAUCUCCCCUGCUGCCACAGCCCACAAGUGGGGUGCCACCCCCUCCCCCUCCUCCCCCUCCCCCUGGCCCAUCUGCUUCAUCUUUUGGUGGCGUGGGUAUUCCAGAGGCUUCUAUCCAACAACCCGAUUUGGUGCCCUCCAAGCCAAAAUCCUCGUUGCCUGCUGUUAGUGAAGCUAGGAGUGACUUGCUUUCUGCUAUUCGUCAAGGAUUCCAGCUCCGUAAAGUUGAAGAAGAACGUGAACAAGAGAAGCGAGAUGUUGUGGGCAAUGAUGUUGCAACCAUCCUCUCACGCCGCAUUGCAGUAGAAUACAGCGAUUCAGAGGAUGAUUCCUCAGAGUUCGAUGAAGACGAGUGGUCUGAUUAACCCCCCCGCCCUGCACAUCCCCAAUUUGGGGACGGAGGCGGAUAAGAUGGAGAGAGAAUGGCCAUCACUUCCCAGAAUGCCAAACUUUUUUUUUUUUUUUGGCUUUCCUCUUUUUAUCCAAUAACCAAAGAUUGAUCUUCCAGGCUUCCAAAUAACUGCUUUCCCUCCCAGUUGAUGGGACUUACACAUCCUUCCAAGAAAGAAGGAAAAUGAACCCUAGAUUUCCAGAUUCUCAGGUUACUAUGAAAAUAUAUAUAUAUAUUGUUAAAGAUUUUCUUUGGUUUAGGACUAAAUUUGCAGCUCCUGGCACAACCAGGAAGUGUUGCUUAAAAUGACAGGCAACCAACUUGCAAGUAAUACUAAUUUCCUUUGCAACAGUUAUGUGAGGCAUUGGAAACACUGUAGUAAGCUGGUGAUUCACCUUCUUUGUCCCUCCAUUAGGGUGUAAUUUUACAUUUCUGCUCUCACCAGCCCUAACAAUACUUUCUUUAUGCUAAAUUUGGAAUGUAUUAAUUUAGGUUGGAGUUUAAAAAACACUGUACCGUGUACACAACAGGAUCAUCUAAAAAAAUUUUUUUAUCUCUUUCCCCCCUCAGUGCCUGUUAAAUCAUAGAAUGAGCCAGGGAACUACUUAACCCAUAGUACCACUUAAGUUUUUAUAAUGAAGAUGGAAUUUAUGCAAAAUUAGGAAGAAUUUCCCUCCGUGUGUCUUGAAUACAAGAGCUUUAAGCGCUGGAUGUGGUCUUGCUUUGCGAUCAAAAGAUUUGCAGAUUCUCAGUUCAGUAGAAGGUCCUACAUGAAUCAACUUAGCUGUAAGAGUUCUUUUUUUUUUUUAAAUCACAUUAUGCUAAAAGCUGAGAUGUGAUUAAAUUAAGCCUAUGACCCUUCUCUAGUCACCACAUGGGAGUUUUCAUGGACCAACUUGGCCAUAUGCAAUAUAUGCCCAGUCUUCCUUAUUAUUUUCCUUAUAUAUUUCUUUCUUUCUAGCAAACAUUUAUACAAAUAGCUUUUGCGGGGGAUUUUCUUCGCCAAGAACUAGUAUACAGAAUGUCAAAGGGCAGGCCCCUAAAUUUAUCCAGGCAUCCCACUUACUGGAACAAUGCUAUCACUUUAAUCAGAGUGAUGGUUUGAAUAGGGAACAUGCCUACCUAUUUAUUGGUUUGAAAAUCUUUGCCUUGCCAUAUGCUCUGCUGUUCUUUUCUCACUAGGAUGUGCCUUGUAACAGCUUCUAUAUCCCAAAGAGUAUUGUUUUCUUGCUUUUAUCCUUACAGACCUUUAUUUCAAGUCCCUCUUUUGUUUUGAAUUUCUGGUUCCAUAGCUAUAUAGCAGAGCUUUUCUUUAGCCAAAGGGAAGGACCAAACUUUCAGAAGUAGGUAGAAAAUUUAAACUAUCCUGAAAAAAUUCAUUUAGUUGGUGGUUUCCUUUGUGGCACUGAACAGCUUUGAGCAUCUGAUUAGAGUGCGUAAAGGAUAGGCUGAUGGGUAGUUUGCUCAUGAAUUAUAAAACCUUUCAAAACACUCUAUAAUAUAAUUUCAAGAAUGACCCUAAGGCUCAUUAGUAACCCAGAAUUAACAUUCAAGUACUAAGAGUAGUGGCCAGCUUAGAAAGGAAUGACAGAACUUAGCCUUCUUUUUGAUUUGCCUGGUGUUUCAUACACGGCAAAGCCUUUAACUUUGUGUGACUGUGCGUACUAAAUCUUUGUGAAUGGCUUCCUUCUAAUGGAAGCCACAAGAACAUAAAAAGGCCUUCAGGUGUGCAUUCAGAAUGACAACGGUUACCCACACAUGGUGCCAAGAAAACUAUAUGGCUGUGCCAAUGGAAUUAGAAAGCCUCUAUUUCGUAUGACUCUUUUCCUAGCUGUCCCCAUAAAUGAUUUUUGUGCAGAUUGACUUUAUCAGUUUAUAAUCAAUGUGCUGCAUAAGGAUAAUGGGCAUUCUUAACGUAACGUUUAAACAGGUUUGACCUAAGGUUAACGUCUAAAAGUUUGAAAAAGGUGCUAAUUCUAUGUUCCUUGAGAGGUGGGUGUCCUGUACAGAGAGAGUGAUUUAUCUUGCCAGCUUUUCACAACCUGAUGCCUCUCACUUACAGCUUUUAAAUUGCUUGUCUGUGUUGACUAACAAUUGAAAACACAGACACUCAAACAUAUCCACAAAUUCUGAAGCUAGGGUUGAGUUCGGAUGCUAGUUAGUAAAAAGGUUGAAGUUAACUCCUCAAUUGAAAUCCCUCUUACUGCUUUUUUGCACUUUUAAGAUGUCAGACAACCUGCCGGAAAACAAUAAGUUGUUACAUUGAACAUCAUGUUCAAUAGAACAACCCUGAAAAAAUCAUUUGAGAAACAGAAAACCAGUCAAACACCUCACUUAGCCAGUUGGGCCCCAAUUAUCAGCCAGGUCAUGGAAUCCUUAGGUGCUGAAUGGCAACCGCCUCUCCUACUGCUCCAGUUUUAAACAGAUCUUCUCCCUGAAUUAAAAUGAAUGAAAUUGUCUCUUUGAGACAUUCAUGCUUGGUGUGAAGCAUCAAAAUAGAUUUGAUUCCAUCUCCAAAAGAUGGCUUUAGUGUCGCUAUUCUGAUUUUAGAAUAGUUAAUUGAACUUAAUUGAAGGCGUUAGUUAAUUGAACUUAAUUGAAGAUGCUGUACAGAUUUCAUUCUCUGAGUUAGUUGGAGUACUUCAGGUUUUCUUACAGCAAAUAAUCAGCAGGAACAGCUGCUUGGUUCAAUGGAAAGAAUAGGGAGGAGAAGAAAUUCUACUAGAACAAUAGUGCUAUUGCUUGAUUUCUACAGAAAGCCCACCCAUUAUUUUGUUUCCUUUUUUUUUUAACUUUUGCAUCACAUCAUCUGAGUAAAUUAGUUUUUCAAAUUUCUUUCUUUAAAAUAUAUAUACAUAUAUUUUAAGUUCUAGAUUGUGCCGCUGGGUCUAAAACCUUUUUCUGCAAUGCUGGGUCCAAAAUGUUUUCUACAGUCUUUGAAGAUCAGCUUCUUCCCUUCUCCAUCAUAGUUGACCACAUUAUGAGGAAGGACCCUUCAAAAUCUCAAGAAGUCGCAAAGCUUUGUGAAGCAGGCAUUUGGGCAGAGAGAGACUUAAAAUAGGCCGCCUGGAUCACACAGCUGGGCAGAAGAGUACUGUGUCCUUUUACCAGACUGCCCAUACUACAGAAACUGUGGGGCCUCCUCUGCUUGAUUUCCUUUAUAUGUAUUUUGGGAGGGAGAGAGUGACUUUUUCUUUCCUUAUUGCACCUUUUAACAUGAUUCAGUUUAAUUGAUUUUAAAAACUAACAAUGUUUAUUAUGUAGAAUAAGUUGACUUCUAUAAGUGCCUUAUUUCAUAAAAUAUAUUUAUGUAAGAGUAAUUAUUUCAAAUGUAUCAUAGGUCAUACCUGAACAGAAAUAUGGAAUGUUGAAGAAAGUCUUCUUUUAACCAAGUUUUCUAAAUGGUCAGUUUGUAAGAAAGAGAUCAAUAGAUUAUGCCUUAAUUAACUGCCGGAGGAAAUGGUUAUGGAUGCAGUUGAUGGUUUUAUCAGUAGAGACCAAGAGCAUAAACAUGUUUCAGAAUAUCAGGCAACAGCCAGCAGUAUGUGAUUCUAGGUGUUUGUCAGUGUAUCCAUGCACACUUGGUGCAAAUGAGUGACCAUUCCAUGAUAUGCUGAAAGUCUGCUUUACUGUAAACUCGGCUGUUGUGAGAAUUGGCUUUUGGAAUGAAUUCAAAAGUCCUUAAACCUAAAGCAAAAAGUGCUAUAGUGACCUCAACCAUGUCUAUGCUAGAGGCCAGUGAUCAUCAGGGUGUUCCAGUACAGCCUGAUGAUCAGUACCAAAUUCUGUCUGGCAGGUCUUGGGUGAAGAGGGAGCAGCACAAUGGAGACUGGAAUUGUUGCUUCUCUUCCAUGCUCUCAUGCAGAGUUUGGCUCUCCAUAUUAAUUUUACUGUCCCUAGUUGCCAUUUUUAAUCCAAAUCUUUUAAAAACUACUUUUAUAACUUCUCUAGUUUUGUCUACCUUUCCUUGAGGGACUCCUUGUAAAGUAUAUGUGAUUAAAACAAAACUUUUUACCAUAUAAACUUUAAAGAAAUGAGAAUCCUUUCUAGCCAUUGUGUUAUGUUUAGGGUUGGAUGAAUUGGUCACUUUCUCUAACACUUGGUUAUAACCUGUUACUGCCAUUCACACAAGAUCAUUUUUUCUUGCCUAUAUUUCCUGGUGUGUGUACAACUUACAAGUCUGAAUGUAUAUGUGCUUUUUGUACACCCUCUCCCUCACCCCUACACAUUGUUAACACAGGUGAGAAUUUCACUGGAAAAUUCAGUGCAGCUCAAGGAGUGCAGGAUAACAGUUCCAGUUUAUAGGAGUGAAAAAUAUCAUUUAGUAUUGCCUUGCAAAACUUGGUCCCGCUGCUAUUCCUAAUUUUCACCUUCUUUUAAAGGCACUUUUUACCUGCUGCCCUAAAGAUCAGAAGUUACAAUAAUGGUACAGAUGAAUAUUUGUGUGGUGUUUGGCAGCUCUUUUGGUAUCCUUACAUUCCACUUUGGAUGUGCGUGGCUUAGUGGUUCUGGAUACCUCAAUCCACAAACCCUUUGCCCUGGUUUAAAACAUUUGGAAACAUUGAUAAGCUUUCUGGAUAGUCUAUUUGUAUGGCAGAGAUCCUUGAUUUUAGAAAACCACAAAGGUAGAUGGAAGUGUGCAGGAUAAAUAGGGAUCUGGGCCUUUAGUGGGGUUAUAAAAAAGUCUUUUCCUUGAGAGAAUAUAAUGCUAAGUAUUCAUUUUGUUCUAAAGAUAUUGAAAGGAAUUGCCCAAUAGCUUCCAGUUUUUCUCUCCUGACCACAGAUCAUCAUGUAUUCGCAACUUACUGCAAAUUCUUUUGGAGACUCUACUAUAUGUGAAUUUGAUAAGAAUUAUAUGUUCAAAUAUUCUUGCAUAUUGUCACAAGGAUAAAUAAAGAACCUCACUGAUUUUUUUUCCCUGCCAGAAGAAAACAAAUACAUUUUUAGGUGAGUGAAGUUCAUUAGACCUGGGGAUAAACGCAGCUUAAGAUGUAGAAACUCUAGAAGACUUCUUGAUGCCGCAAAUAGAAGCUGAGCAUAUCCUGGAAAUUAUAACUUCAAGUUCUAGUUUUCUGCCUCAGCCCUACACUUUACAACCAUAAUUGAGUCUGGCAAUUAAGGUGAUGUCAUGACAGUUGUAAAGUGGGUCAUUAUGUGAUUGACUCGAUUUUGUGAACUUUUUGGGUGGUUAAGUAAAUUGUCCAGGAUAAGCGAGUGCUGCAAUUCAGUGAAUGCCAUGAUCAUUAAUCUUGUUAUUCGCUGUAGGCCAGUUUCUGGCAAAAUGUAAGUCGCAGUCUCAUCAUGCUGAAAAUGGUCGUAAUUGUGGGACAGUUGCAGAGUGCCCAAGUGAAGUCACGUGACUGUAGGAACUUUAGAACCUGGUGAUAAAUAGCUUUGGAGGGUCUAUCAAACUUGGCAACUUUAAGACUUGUGGACUUCAACUCCCAGAAUUCUGACUGGAGAAUUCUGGGAGUUGAAGUCCACAAGUCUUAAAAUUGCCAAGUUUGGGGACCCCUGGUCUAUCAAACUUACAAUGGUCAUUAAGUAACUGGUUGGAAGUUGAGUACUACUUGCAUUAGAAUUGUUUUCUGCAUGUUGUUUCCAUUUAGACUGAGAUUCUUCAUGCCCUGUCCCAGUGUUUU
Non-coding RNA from Notechis scutatus (mainland tiger snake), 7329 nucleotides. NCBI's taxonomy places the organism in Eukaryota, Metazoa, Chordata, Lepidosauria, Squamata, Elapidae. The record is from RefSeq and is a predicted model, not a curated record.